This 398-nucleotide ribosomal RNA is filed under the name uncultured bacterium. Its description in RNAcentral is "bacterial SSU rRNA". It matches the Rfam family "Bacterial small subunit ribosomal RNA", at positions 188 to 586 of the family's 1533-position model. The record is from RNAcentral.
GCAUCGAUUUUAAAUUAAAGCUCCGGCGCUGGAAGAUGAGUGUGCGUACUAUUAGCUAGUUGGUAAGGUAAUGGCUUACCAAGGCUACGAUAGUUAGGGGGCGUGAGAGCGUGACCCCCCACACGGGUACUGAGACACGGACCCGACUCCUACGGGAGGCAGCAGUAAGGAAUAUUGGACAAUGGGCGCAAGCCUGUCCAGCCAUACCGCGUGGAGGAUGACUGCCCUAUGGGUUGUAAACUCCUUUUAUUUGAGAAGAAACCCCGAUAUUUAUAUUGGGCUGACGGUAUCUUAUGAAUAAGCACCGGCUAACUCCGUGCCAGCAGCCGCGGUAAUACGGAGGGUGCAAGCGUUAUCCGGAAUCACUGGGUUUAAAGGGUGCGUAGGUGGUUUAGUAA